UGUGAAGCUAAGAGCGUUAACCUUUUAAGUUAAAAUUAGAGAUUUUAAAUCUCCACAAUGAUAU
Molecule: transfer RNA, 64 nt
Filed under: Zelotomys hildegardeae
Lineage: Eukaryota; Metazoa; Chordata; Mammalia; Rodentia; Muridae
Description: tRNA-Lys
Source: RNAcentral